This 1635-nucleotide long non-coding RNA is filed under the name Salvia miltiorrhiza (redroot sage). RNAcentral's name for it is "long non-coding RNA (SMIL_LNC009177)". Lineage: Eukaryota; Viridiplantae; Streptophyta; Magnoliopsida; Lamiales; Lamiaceae. The record is from RNAcentral.
CCAACUGGCGCCGUCUGUGGGAAAUUGAGCUAAGGCGUGAGAUUCAUUGUUUUCCGGUUACUGUUCAUCACUUAUUACUGUUCAUCGAAAAUUUUUGGGGAAAAUUAGGGAUCUGGGUUACUACUCGUUACUGUUCAUCGAUUGGGUUUGGGUCUUUUGUUUUCUAGAUUCCGGCGAGGAGGGAGAUAUCAUAUCGGGAAACGGGAAAUCGGAUCUGAGCUGGGGAAAAGUCAUGGCCAUCGCCCCUCUUCCUCAACAAUUUCGCUAAGCUCCGACCAGCAGCAGGCUCCGCUGCCGCAAAAAUUGCCACCUCCCAGAUAUCGCAUGUCAGGCGAGCAAAUCACCGGUCUAUAUCAUCGCCGCCUGGUGUACAAGCAACACCGGCUGCUAGCUGCCACAACUAUCUCCACCGGCCUUAUCUUCACCUCAAAUUUGAUCUGAUCACCCUAUCGCCCCCUUUCAAUCUGGGUUCUCAGAUUUCCAUCUAAAUCACGCCGGGAAAAAGACAGAAUUGAACCAGCGACGUCAGGGAAGAAAACUCUGGCGGCCUGAGCGACGUCAGCGAAGAAAACUCCGACGGCCUCCGCCGUGCCUCCUGAGGCGCCGACAUUUCUGAACUCUUGGCACCUGAUUCUAGCGUAGCUCCGGGGAAAAGCUCCCACGAUCAUGGCCAUUUCUCUAUUUCUCUCUUUUAAGUUUUGUCUCUGCUGCUAAUCAUACUCUUUCUCUUGUAGAAACUCCAAUGGUGCUCUGACUUGGGGGGAGGGCAACUCGAUCCUUGUCGGAACCAGGCCGAUUUCCUCCAGAAUCGCACUGGCGAGGGUUUUAAUUUGAUAAGGAAAAACGAAAAGGGGAACUGGGGAAGAAUGAGGGAUCUUGGAAAUCUUAAGAUCGGCGAGCAACCACUGCUGUAAAAUCGAUUCAUUGUCAGUGUCUCAUCCGGCGAUGGAAGAAAAGUUCAGCGAUUAGAGGGGGAUACCCAAGCUGUUGAGUUCGUUCCCCGGUUGUCCUGCUUUUGCCUCCGGUUGGAUGACCGGAGGGGGCUACGAUCGCUGCUGCGAGACAGAAAUUCAAAGCUCAACACAUUUGGGACGCUAAUUUGUCAAAGGCAAUGUUGAACGGCCGACGAUAGAGCUUUCAGGCCAGAUGAACAUCGUCUAAAGAAGAAGAUAAGUUCUUGAUUCACUGGCUUGAGCCUUUAUUUAUACUUUUAUCUUAAUUGUGUUGAUGGUUUUCAAUUCCAUGGAGCAAUGACGUUUUUGCCAUGAAUUAAAUUUUUCUUAGUCUCAUAAGAAAUUUCCUUUUGUGAUUGCUUACUGGUGUUGAGUAAGAGCUCUGUUGAGAUGCGAGAAGAAUUUCAAUGUGCGUUCUGAUAUUGAUCUAAAGAUUGAGGAUAUUUUGAUAUUUGGGUAUUCUUUGGUAUUUUAAGAUCAUUAGCUUAGAUUUAUUGCUAUUUUGAAUUAUGGAAUUGAACAUUACAAUUGUUGGGAUAAGACCGUGGAGAUAUAUGCCUUUAUGUGCAUGAUUGAGUUAUUAUGGGGCAUUUAAAUUAACUCUUCAUGAUUUGGUUUUGAUGUUCGUGGGGCCUUAUUUGAAUUUUGGUGAUUGAAUUUGAGUUUAUUGGUUGGUUAUGAU